Molecule: RNA transcript, 1365 nt
Organism: Panicum virgatum (switchgrass)
Lineage: Eukaryota; Viridiplantae; Streptophyta; Magnoliopsida; Poales; Poaceae
Gene name: homeobox protein engrailed-1-like
Exons: 3
Source: RefSeq, a predicted model, not a curated record
CCCCGCAUUCGACGGGCGAAUCUGGGCGCGUGUCGACCCGCGCGCGUUCUGGUUAUUUUGCAAAUAUACCCUCCAGUUUUUUAUAAAUCGCAACUCAGUGCAACACAUUCAAAAUGAUCAGAAAUCAUGUUCUAAUAUUGUUCAUAUAGGUCCUCCUUGAAAAUUUUAAUAUUACAAACAUCCCCAAAAUGCACCUUUGCGAAAAUGCCCUCCCGCAGCUCCGAACGGCUGAACCUCCUCGCUCUCCUCCCGGCUCCCCUCUCCUGCUCCCCACCUCCGCCCUCUCUCUCUCUCUCCCUCUCUGCUCUCUGCGUCCACGCCGCCGCCUUUCCUCCCCUUCUCCCUCUCCACCUGCCUCCGUCGUCCCUCCCCGCCGCCGCUCCUCCUGUUCACCGCCGCCGACCGCUCCUGGAAGAUCCGGAUCUGGCGGUGGGGUGUGGCUUGGAGGAAGGGGGGAUCCAGAUCCGGCAGUGCUGGCCGGCCGAUGCUGGUGCUUGGGCGAGCAGGACAGCCCCGCUCUCACCGCGGGCACCGUCCCAACCCGCCCCCCUCACUGUGGCGCUCCUUCCCUCCGGGAUCCGGCAAGGGCGAGGCUUGCAGCACCGGCGGCGCCGGCCGGGCUGCCUCGUGGAGCGGCGGCUCCUCCCCUCCGGGGUCCGGCGAGAGCCGCGGCUGGGCGUGCAGCGGGGGCCGUGGCUGCAGGGCCGGCGUGGCACCCCUACCUUGUCUUCCGGUGCAGGAAGGAUGGACACGCUGCUAUGCUGAAGAAGGAAGAACUGCUCGUGCCAAUCAGCUUAGCCAUAUCCUUGCGUGAAUUAAGAAGCAGGCAGAUAUGCUCUUAUUAUUAUAAAUGUUUUCUAUAAGUUAUUUUUUUCCUCUACGACCAGGCCACAGAAGAGCAAGGAAGAGGUUGGCCUCCCAUGCACAAGCUCUUUUUCUUAUCAGCAUCAGAUAGGUUAUUGUCAGAACCUAAGUCUGAAUAAAAAAUUGUUUAGUAGUCCUUAUUUCGGUACUAAAUAGUCAUGCUUCUGAUGAUUUCCUUUUAUAAUGGAAGGAAGGAUGCUUAGUCACAAGAAUGGAGAAUUGGAGCUGAGAUUCAUGCUGACUCAAUAAAUUUUUAUGGAUUAUUCAGCUACACCAUACUGUGGCGUUACUGUUGUGGUUUAUGUAUUGUUCAAGGCAUAGUUUUUUCCUGAAAUGAGUCGAAGGCAUAGUUAAGAUAACCUGUAAUUGCUUGUGCAUGAACUUAUGCUGCUUAUAGUAAAAUUAUCGACCUUGUAUUAGUAAGUGAUUUAUGGUAUCAGUUACAUAAUGACUUUUCAUGUAUAAGCUCCUAUCUUUGUUAAAAUACAAAUCCAUUCAUAU